CGAAUGCAAACGGGUCAUGCUGAGGUCCCCAGAGGAGGAUGGGUCACGUUGAGGUCUCUGAGGGAGCUGGGCCAUGCCAAGGGGCCCUUCCCAGCAGAGAUGCCAGAGGUGAACGUCUCAUCCUUGGCAGAGUCUGGGCUCUCCUCUCCUUCAUGCCCCAGGGGUCGUCAAGAUUCAGAGGGAGGUUAAUUUCUUGGAAACAUCUCACCUUGUUUUUGAUCCACUGUGAAUGGUAUAGGAGCUGAGCAGGAGGGAAGAGAGAGAGAAGAAAGGCAGCUCCACCAAAAGCCACAUAAACAGCUGAAUGAAUGAAAAGGAUUAAAAAUAACACCCAACCCCGAGGUGAAAUUAGGAGAAAUAAAUGGCUAAAACA
This is a long non-coding RNA of Corapipo altera (White-ruffed manakin), 373 nucleotides long. RefSeq lists it as uncharacterized. The transcript has 2 exons. NCBI's taxonomy places the organism in Eukaryota, Metazoa, Chordata, Aves, Passeriformes, Pipridae. The record is from RefSeq and is a predicted model, not a curated record.